UUACGCGCGCUGCUUCGAACGGCGGUUGUAUGUUUAUGAGAAGCUGUUUUUCAUGGCAGAAAUACACUCGGAGGUUUGCCAUUGCCUGCCGAGAGGAAACGCUU
Molecule: long non-coding RNA, 104 nt
Organism: Rhagoletis zephyria (snowberry fruit fly)
Lineage: Eukaryota; Metazoa; Arthropoda; Insecta; Diptera; Tephritidae
Source: RefSeq, a predicted model, not a curated record